Clupea harengus (Atlantic herring) is the source of this 2067-nucleotide long non-coding RNA. NCBI's taxonomy places the organism in Eukaryota, Metazoa, Chordata, Actinopteri, Clupeiformes, Clupeidae. The record is from Ensembl.
AGACCACGUGUGCAGCUUCACUCAGUGGGGCGUGCAGCACAACAGACACACACUCACACACACACACACACACACUCCCUGCUGCCAUCUCACACACACUCUCUAUAUUGUAUGCCUCUCUGCACUAACUCUGGCUUCUCACUCUGAUUCACACUCCAUCUCACACAGGGGGACUGGUCUUGAUCGCAUUGUCGUCCUGACUUUGGACAGCUGUGCACGACUGUGGCUUUGGACAGCUCUGAUUGACUGUGCUGAAGGUAAGUGAGUUGGGAGGGGAUGUGUCUGAAGGGUUCUCUGACCAGAUAAGGGACGUGAGUGUGAGGUUAGGGACGUGAGUGUGAGGUUAGAGACAUGAGUGUGAGGUGUGAGGUUAGAGACAUGAGUGUGAGUGUGAGGUUAGAGACAUGAGUGUGAGGUGUGAGGUUAGGGACGUGAGUGUGAGGUGUGAGGUUAGAGACAUGAGUGUGAGAUUAGGGACAUGAGUGUGAGGUUAGAGACAUGAGUGUGAGGUGUGGGACAUGAGUGUGAGGUUAGGGACGUGAGUGUGAGGUGUGAGGUUAGGGACAUGAGUGGGAGGUUAGGGACAUGAGUGUGAGGUUAGGGACAUGAGUGUGAGAUUAGGGACAUGAGUGUGAGGUGUGAGGUUAGGGACAUGAGUGUGAGGUAUGAGGUUAGGGGCAUGAGUGUGAGGUUAGGGACGUGAGUGUGAAGUUAGAGACAUGAGUGUGAGGUUAGGGACAUGAGUGUGAGGUAUGAGGUUAGGGACAUGAGUGUGAGGUUAGGGACAUGAGUGUGAGGUGUGAGGUUAGAGACAUGAGUGUGAGUGUGAGGUUAGGGACAUGAGUGUGAGGUGUGAGGUUAGGGACAUGAGUGUGAGGUUAGGGACGUGAGUGUGAGGUGUGAGGUUAGGGACAUGAGUGUGAGGUGUGAGGUUAGGGACAUGAGUGUGAGGUGUGGGACGUGAGUGUGAGGUGUGAGGUUAGGGACAUGAGUGUGAGGUGUGGGACAUGAGUGUGAAGUUAGGGACGUGAGUGUGAGGUGUGAGGUUAGGGACAUGAGUGUGAGGUUAGGGACGUGAGUGUGAGGUGUGAGGUUAGGGACAUGAGUGUGAGUGUGAGGUUAGGGACAUGAGUGUGAGGUGUGAGGUUAGGGACAUGAGUGUGAAGUUAGGGACGUGAGUGUGAGGUGUGGGACAUGAGUGUGAGGUGUGAGGUUAGGGACAUGAGUGUGAGGUGUGGGACGUGAGUGUGAGGUGUGAGGUUAGGGACAUGAGUGUGAGGUGUGGGACAUGAGUGUGAAGUUAGGGACGUGAGUGUGAGGUGUGAGGUUAGGGACAUGAGUGUGAGGUUAGGGACGUGAGUGUGAGGUGUGAGGUUAGGGACAUGAGUGUGAGGUGUGAGGUUAGGGACAUGAGUGUGAGGUAUGAGGUUAGGGACAUGAGUGUGAGGUUAGGGACAUGAGUGUGAGGUUAGGGACAUGAGUGUGAGGUGUGGGACAUGAGUGUGAAGUUAGGGACGUGAGUGUGAGGUUAGGGAUGUGAGUGUGAGGUGUGAGGUUAGGGACAUGAGUUGAGUACUAUAUGAAGUGAAGUAAAUAAAGAUCUCAUUUAAAAGAGUCAGGUGCUUAACUUAGGUUACAGGAGUUAUUGGGGGUUAGGGUUAGUUUUGAUGUGGUGAGGUGUGUUGGUUUUGAUAUUAUUGGGGGUUAGGGUUAGUUUUGAUGUGGUGAGGUGUGUAGGUUUUGAUAUUAUUGGGGUUUAGGGUUAGUUUUGAUGUGGUUUUGUAACAUUAGUGACAUCACACAAUACUGGUCAGGUCAGGUCAUUCUAUCUAUACUGUAGGAAAAAGCAGUGAUAAGUAUGCGAUCUAUGUAUCUAUGGAAGCAGUGAUAACCAUUAGUUGUAUUGUGUGAGUAGACAGUAAGAUGUUGAGUCAGUGGGCCUCCAUUGUAUGUGUGUGUGUGUGUGUGUGUGUGUGUGUGUGUGUGUGUGUGUCUGAUGGGGUGAGCCUGAACAAGGGCAGGAAACAGCUGGGUCUGAGAGAGGAAAUUAGGAACAACACACCAGGA